This 301-nucleotide ribosomal RNA is filed under the name uncultured bacterium. RNAcentral's name for it is "partial 16S ribosomal RNA". It matches the Rfam family "Bacterial small subunit ribosomal RNA", at positions 509 to 807 of the family's 1533-position model. The record is from RNAcentral.
CAGUCGCCGCGGGAAUACGGAGGGUGCAAACGUUGCUCGGAAUUAUUGGGCGUAAAGCGCAUGUAGGCGGCCGAAUAAGUCGGGUGUGAAGGCCCAGGGCUUAACCCUGGAAGUGCACUCGAAACUGCUCGGCUUGAAUAUGGAAGAGGGUCGCGGAAUUCCCGGUGUAGAGGUGAAAUUCGUAGAUAUCGGGAGGAACACCAGUGGCGAAGGCGGCGACCUGGGCCAAUAUUGACGCUGAGAUGCGAAAGCGUGGGGAGCAAACAGGAUUAGAUACCCCAGUAGUCCCUGUCUCUUAUAC